RNAcentral lists this ribosomal RNA (804 nucleotides) under uncultured fungus. RNAcentral's name for it is "eukaryotic LSU rRNA". It matches the Rfam family "Eukaryotic large subunit ribosomal RNA", at positions 24 to 664 of the family's 3401-position model. The record is from RNAcentral. Lineage: Eukaryota; Fungi.
CCCGCUGAACUUAAGCAUAUCAAUAAGCGGAGGAAAAGAAAACAACUGUGAUUCCCUUAGUAGCUGCGAGCGAAACGGGAUCAGCUCAAAACCGAAUCUGGCCGCUCUUGCAGCGGUCCGAAAUGUGGUUUACGGACUGAACUCGGAUCGGGUACGGCGGUUUAAGUCACUUGGAACAGUGCGCCAUAGAGGGUGAUAGCCCCGUGAAGCCGUUGUUGCCUCGGUCCAUAUGAGGUCAGUUCCAAGAGUCGCACUGUUUGAGAGUACAGUGCUAAGAUGGGAGGUGAGUACCUCCUAAAGCUAAAUAUUAGUCUGAGACCGAUAGCGUACAAGUACCGUGAGGGAAAGUUGCAAAGGACUUUGAAAAGAGAGUUAAAAGAACCUGAAAUCGUUAACGGGGAAGGGCUCAGGCAAAUCGCGGCCGCUGAGUGAUCAUCCUGUCGGUGCUUGAGGAAUCGUUCUGCUGGAGCCGCUUUUUUGCGGCCGGCGGGGCGGUAGUACGAAGGCCUGGCGGGACCACUCUCUUAUGCCGGGUGGAUCUGGUGGCUUGCGGCUGAUCGCGGCAUCUGCGUGGUAACUGCGGGGCGGUUAAUUCUGUUUUGCGGGGCAAAAGCGGGAGUCUUCCAGCUGUGGGCCGCUAGUUCAGGGAAUGCGCCUUUUUGGCGGGGUACAGGUGCGACAGCGCUGCUUGAUUGACCGAGAUACAAUCUUGUUUCCCGGCCAGGAUUGCGGCAGGGGUGCGCCUGCCCGUGCAUGACUAUCCAUCAGAGUCGAGGGACCUGAGCCUCCCGUCUUGAAACACGG